AUAUUCUCUUUAACUGCCGAUUCCGCCGAUAUACAAAUCCGCCCGCAGAAAUGCAAUAUUCCUUGAUCAUCCACAAGAAAAUCACCGCUGUAACCAUCAACCAUCUUAGCUCGAAUCUUUUGCAAUUCCACAUCGUGAACUUGCUUUUCUCAAGGGUGCAUCAGGAGCUACCACUUCCAACUCCAACCGCUUCAUCUGCUCAAUCAACGGCGGUUGAGUGACUACAAGCAUCGCUAAAUUUUUCGUCGAUUUCCGACUUAGCGCAUCC
RNAcentral lists this long non-coding RNA (268 nucleotides) under Ananas comosus (pineapple). RNAcentral describes it as "long non-coding RNA (ACOM_LNC024534)". Lineage: Eukaryota; Viridiplantae; Streptophyta; Magnoliopsida; Poales; Bromeliaceae. The record is from RNAcentral.